RNAcentral lists this ribosomal RNA (497 nucleotides) under uncultured bacterium. RNAcentral's name for it is "partial 16S ribosomal RNA". It matches the Rfam family "Bacterial small subunit ribosomal RNA", at positions 28 to 507 of the family's 1533-position model. The record is from RNAcentral.
GAUGAACGCUGGCGGCGUGCCUAAUACAUGCAAGUCGAGCGAACAGAUGAGGGGCUUGCUCCUCUGACGUUAGCGGCGGACGGGUGAGUAACACGUGGAUAACCUACCUAUAAGACUGGGAUAACUUCGGGAAACCGGCGCUAAUACCGGAUAAUAUAUUGAACCGCAUGGUUCAAUAGUUAAAGACGGUUUUGCUGUCACUUAUAGAUGUAUCCGCGCCGCAUUAGCUAGUUGGUAAGGUAACGGCUUACCAAGGCAACGAUGCGUAGCCGACCUGAGAGGGUGAUCGGCCACACUGGAACUGAGACACGGUCCAGACCCCUACGGGAGGCAGCAGUAGGGAAUCUUACGCAAUGGGCGAAAGCCUGACGGAGCACCGCCGCGUGGGUGAUGAAGGUCUUCGGAUCGUAAAACUCUGUUAUUAGGGAAGAACAAAUGUGUAAGUAACUAUGCACGACUUGACGGUACCUAAUCAGAAAGCCACGGCUAACUACGUG